This 974-nucleotide ribosomal RNA is filed under the name Salmonella enterica subsp. enterica serovar Stanley. RNAcentral's name for it is "partial 23S ribosomal RNA". It matches the Rfam family "Bacterial large subunit ribosomal RNA", at positions 1279 to 2236 of the family's 2925-position model. Lineage: Bacteria; Pseudomonadati; Pseudomonadota; Gammaproteobacteria; Enterobacterales; Enterobacteriaceae. The record is from RNAcentral.
GUAUCAGAAGUGCGAAUGCUGACAUAAGUAACGAUAAAGCGGGUGAAAAGCCCGCUCGCCGGAAGACCAAGGGUUCCUGUCCAACGUUAAUCGGGGCAGGGUGAGUCGACCCCUAAGGCGAGGCCGAAAGGCGUAGUCGAUGGGAAACGGGUUAAUAUUCCCGUACUUGGUGUUACUGCGAAGGGGGGACGGAGAAGGCUAUGUUGGCCGGGCGACGGUUGUCCCGGUUUAAGCGUGUAGGUGUGUGUUCCAGGUAAAUCCGGUUCACUUUAACACUGAGGCGUGACGACGAGGCACUACGGUGCUGAAGCAACAAAUGCCCUGCUUCCAGGAAAAGCCUCUAAGCAUCAGGUAACAUCAAAUCGUACCCCAAACCGACACAGGUGGUCAGGUAGAGAAUACCAAGGCGCUUGAGAGAACUCGGGUGAAGGAACUAGGCAAAAUGGUGCCGUAACUUCGGGAGAAGGCACGCUGACACGUAGGUGAAGUGAUUUACUCAUGGAGCUGAAGUCAGUCGAAGAUACCAGCUGGCUGCAACUGUUUAUUAAAAACACAGCACUGUGCAAACACGAAAGUGGACGUAUACGGUGUGACGCCUGCCCGGUGCCGGAAGGUUAAUUGAUGGGGUCAGCGCAAGCGAAGCUCCUGAUCGAAGCCCCGGUAAACGGCGGCCGUAACUAUAACGGUCCUAAGGUAGCGAAAUUCCUUGUCGGGUAAGUUCCGACCUGCACGAAUGGCGUAAUGAUGGCCAGGCUGUCUCCACCCGAGACUCAGUGAAAUUGAACUCGCUGUGAAGAUGCAGUGUACCCGCGGCAAGACGGAAAGACCCCGUGAACCUUUACUAUAGCUUGACACUGAACAUUGAGCCUUGAUGUGUAGGAUAGGUGGGAGGCUUUGAAGCGUGGACGCCAGUCUGCGUGGAGCCGACCUUGAAAUACCACCCUUUAAUGUUUGAUGUUCUAACGUGGACCCGU